Molecule: ribosomal RNA, 254 nt
Filed under: uncultured bacterium
Lineage: Bacteria
Description: partial 16S ribosomal RNA
Rfam family: Bacterial small subunit ribosomal RNA
Source: RNAcentral
UACGGGGGGGUGCGAGCGUUGUCCGGAAUCACUGGGCGUAAAGAGCGUGUAGGCGGCCUGAAAGGUCAGCUGUGAAAACUCGAGGCUCAACCUCGAGACGUCGGCUGAAACCAUCUGGCUAGAGUCCGGAAGAGGAGUGUGGAAUUCCCGGUGUAGCGGUGAAAUGCGCAGAUAUCGGGAAGAACACCCGUGGCGAAGGCGGCACUCUGGGACGGUACUGACGCUGAGACGCGAAAGCGUGGGGAGCGAACAGG